This 216-nucleotide non-coding RNA is filed under the name Lysinibacillus odysseyi. Its description in RNAcentral is "T-box sequence". It matches the Rfam family "T-box leader". Rfam says of the family: Uncharged tRNA acts as the effector for transcription antitermination of genes in the T-box leader family. T-boxes are found upstream of many aminoacyl-tRNA synthetase genes and some amino acid biosynthetic genes usually in Gram-positive bacteria. The record is from RNAcentral. Lineage: Bacteria; Bacillati; Bacillota; Bacilli; Caryophanales; Bacillaceae.
GGUAAUACGAUGAUGGGAAAUAGUAACAAGCGCGUUUUUUUUAGAGAGCCAGCGGGUGGUGGAAGCUGGUAAAGACACUUGUGAAUCCGUCCUUGAGUUGCCUGGCUGAAUGUUUUAGUAGGCUUGGGCCGGUUGAAAAGCCGUUAUUCGAUAAGUGGAGCAGGCAAGGCAGCCUGUUCAAUUAGGGUGGCAACGCGGGUAGCUCUCGUCCCUUUU